Molecule: long non-coding RNA, 1584 nt
Organism: Oncorhynchus tshawytscha (Chinook salmon)
Lineage: Eukaryota; Metazoa; Chordata; Actinopteri; Salmoniformes; Salmonidae
Source: Ensembl
GAUAACGUUACCUACCUACCCAUUCUGGAAAAUAAAGGCAUUUCAACAGGUCCAUGCGCAGAACACUACCACACAGUCCCUUCCUACGAAUGUGACCAAAGCUGACUUCACGAAUUCCUCGAUGCUCAACGUCAGUACCACGAACGUCAGUACCACGAACGUCAGUACCACGAACGUCAGUACCACGAACGUCAGUACCACGAACGUCAGUACCACGAACGUCAGUACCACGAACGUCAGUACCACGAAUGUCUCCAUUCCUCAAGGAGCCAGUGUGACCUUGCAGUCCAGUGCAUUCACGCUCCUCAUCCCUGUGGUGGGCUCGCUCCUACAGGGCUGCUUCUAGAGGGUUCAUCUGCACUGAACAAAAGCCAAGACUAACAUCGGCAGCCUAGAUGUGCAAAUGUUUUACAAAGAGCACAUUAAUUCUCGGAAGGUAGACAUUUGCGCACCUAAGCUGCGGGAUUCGGCGGCAUGGGCAAAAACACUACUUUGUGCUCGCACCUCCUGGCUGCUUCAAACCGUAGGCCUACACUCUGCUCACUGGCCCCAAGGCCAUGGCCUGGCAACAAGCUGUCUCACUGCAGAAUGGGACAUUUGUCCAUAUACCUUUUUGAGGUUUAGGCAUUAAUUCACAAAUGGGUAAGGUUUGGGAUAGGGUCAAGUCAUUUAAAGUGCCUAGCACUGGGAUUGAACACAUGACUAAUUAAUGGUAAUAGUGCUCACCGUUGCCCCUAGUGGCCAAUUUUGAAGUAAUCUCCUGACAUCCUGCUUACCUGGAAAGAUGUCUAAUUUUGCAGUGGUUCUUUAGUGACCUGGCUGUUGCCUCCAUGGAGGCAGGCCAUGAGGCUCUAUUAAACUCUAUUCUUUGACUCAAUAUUGUGUAAUUGCAGACUGCAAUUCAUGGGGUUUCUGGAUAUCAGGAGAAGCACAUUGGUGCCUGGUUUUCCUGGUAAAACACCCUGAAUUUGUCAGUUCUGGUGUUGAGACCGUUUCUUGACAUUUGUUUACAAGGCAGGUAAGGAUAGUUAACGUGGUCGGUAAGGAUAGUUAACGUGGUCGGUUAGGUGACUUUGUGUGCCAGGUUAGGAGAAUGAGGUAAAGUGUUAGCUUUAGAUACUGUUGUCCCCAACGUGAACUACAUGGCCACGGACCAGUGGUGCGCGUCAAAGUGCGUUUCUUAAUCAAGUUACGCCCCUACUCCUUUGCUUCACUUGGUCCCACUGUUCCUGAUUUCAGACAGCAGAGUUUAUCUUGUGUACAUUUUGGCUGUGCCUGGGGAAAUCAGCAACUGUUUGAGGUGCAUUGGAAAAUAACAGCCUAUAUUUGUCUGAUCUGUGGCACUUAUGUCCUUAACAGUGCUAUUCUUAAUCCUGCAACUGCAAUGGAUACUUUGUCAGAGGCUUGAUGUAGCCUACACUUGUGAUGAACUUAUUGCAUUUUAUAUUGUAAACAUGUGACUUAUGUAAGUCAGUGAUGCUUUUAGAUCUCUUUAUGUCAGGUUCAAUAAAGCUUUGAAAUGUGUUUGUCAUGAUUAAUAUUUAAUGUCCUUGUACAAUAAAAUAUGACAUUUAAUAUAACUAA